Molecule: long non-coding RNA, 1135 nt
Filed under: Homo sapiens (human)
Lineage: Eukaryota; Metazoa; Chordata; Mammalia; Primates; Hominidae
Description: HSALNT0021443
Source: RNAcentral
CUUCGUCAUUGGCAUCACUCCGUGCCUUCUCCACAUUUUCUAGAGCUGCUUUUGUGUGUAAGACGAUGCGUUCAGAGCCGCAGGAACACACAGCCCCAGGAGGACGGCUUCCACUUAAUUAGCUUAAUUCCACAAUUCCCUGAGCCUCACGUCGCCCGACCUGGUGGCUGUUUAGAGGAGCCCUGCCUCUGGGCACCGGCAAAUUAUUUUCACAGGGAAGCUAGUGGAGAGAGUGUAAUUGGUGAUUAUGCUAAUUCCUUCCUUUUCUGUGUCAGAGACUGCUCUGCAGGGAGGCCAGGCUCCCGGGAAGGUGUGUAUGAAGGUCUAGCAAGUUCUAGGCUCCUUCCUCCACAGCAGCCCUCCAUGUCACAGGCCCUGAAGCAGUGCGGAGACAGCCCACAGGAUGCGUGGCGACAGCAGGAGAGGCCCCUCCCUGACCCCCAACCGCCCCCAACGCAGAAGCUCAAGGAGGCUGCGGCCUACUUGGUGAGAGGCCCAGAGGCUGCUGCAGGUAGAGAGGGCUGCGGCGCCCGCGGUGGUGGGGAAGGGUCAUUUGGUCUGAAUGUGGUUUCCAAACUGCCCCGGUCGGCUUUAUCCUCCCUGAUGGAAGGCAGUAGGGCAGCAGCACAGGUGGGCGCCAGGGCAGGCGGGGCAAGGGACGGGAGCUCUCUGUGACUCCUUUGCCUCUGGAAAACGGGGACGGCACUGAGCCUCGUCUGCAGCAGUGUCGCAUGCAUGAGCGAGAUGUGCAAUGUCAGCUCCGGAAGCGACAGCUCGGCUGCCUCACUGCCUGGCCUGCGCCCUCCACAGGAAGUCCUCCUCCUGCCUUCCCUUCACACCUCCUUGGCAACUGUCCAGAGUCCAGGGAGUGAGCUGCCUGGGAAGAAUGCAGCGACAAAAAUACUUAGCCGCAUCCGGAACUUCCCUGGUGGCAGCUGGUCACCGACCAUGGGCUUCCCCUGGCAACUGUUGUGUUGGUGAAUGAAUUCCGAGUCUGACCCUGGCUCUGGCACGCCCCUGGGGGGUCUUGGAGAAGUCACCCAAACUCUCAGCCUCAGUUCCCACCCCUGUCAACUAGGGCUAAUAAUACCUCCCCAAAUGCCCCCUGGGAGUAUUAAAUAAUAUAAUGUCGAUG